GCUAAGUCGGGGCGAGCGGGGAGGGUAAUGCGUGGGGCGUGGGUGUUGGCCGGAAUUGGUGGGCGCAAAGGGCUCGUAGGCGGCCUGUGGCGGCGGUUGUGAAAGGCCGGGGCUUAACCCCGGGUCUGCAGGCGAUACGGGCAGGCUAGAGUUCGGUAGGGGAGAUCGGAAUUCCUGGUGGAGCGGUGAAAUGCGCAGAUAUCAGGAGGAACACCGGUGGCGAAGGCGGAUCUCUGGGCCGAUACUGACGCUGAGGAGCGAAAGCGUGGGGAGCGAACAGGAUUAGAUACCCGGGUAGUC
RNAcentral lists this ribosomal RNA (300 nucleotides) under uncultured Armatimonas sp. RNAcentral's name for it is "bacterial SSU rRNA". The stretch from base 52 to 300 matches the Rfam family "Bacterial small subunit ribosomal RNA", at positions 547 to 795 of the family's 1533-position model. The record is from RNAcentral. Lineage: Bacteria; Bacillati; Armatimonadota; Armatimonadia; Armatimonadales; Armatimonadaceae.